This 265-nucleotide unclassified non-coding RNA is filed under the name uncultured Pleosporales. Its description in RNAcentral is "sequence contains 5.8S rRNA gene, ITS2, 28S rRNA gene". The record is from RNAcentral. Lineage: Eukaryota; Fungi; Ascomycota; Dothideomycetes; Pleosporales.
AACGCACAUUGCGCCCCUUGGUAUUCCAUGGGGCAUGCCUGUUCGAGCGUCAUUGACACCCUCAAGCUCUGCUUGGUGUUGGGCCGUUGUCGUUUUCUCGCCCCCCAGCGACACAGCGACACCCCUCAAAGUCAUUGGCGGCCUUUCUGCCCAGCUUCCCGCGCAGCAGUUCGCGCUUCGGAGACCACUUGGCAGGCUGGCAUCCAUCAAGCUGACCCCCUUCACGCUUGACCUCGGAUCAGGUAGGGAUACCCGCUGAACUUAA